GCCUGGGUGGCUCAGUUGGUUGAGCCUCCGACUUCGGCUCAGGUCAUGAUCUCACAGUCUGUGGGUUCGAGUCCCGCGUCGGGCU
RNAcentral lists this transfer RNA (85 nucleotides) under Felis catus (domestic cat). It matches the Rfam family "tRNA". From Rfam's summary of the family: Transfer RNA (tRNA) molecules are approximately 80 nucleotides in length. Lineage: Eukaryota; Metazoa; Chordata; Mammalia; Carnivora; Felidae. The record is from Rfam by way of RNAcentral.